UCAUCCACGAAAUACGUGUUAACGUUAACACAUAAACCCACACAUUUUAUGAAGACGUUGCAAUUAAACCUAACGAGUAAAUGCCAUAUUCCUUCGUUAAUCUGAUAGUUUUGAAAGCCGCGUUCAUGCAGCAGUUUCUACCGUUACCACGGAAACCACUUUGCGUUCGUGCGCAUGGAAAAGUAUUGAAGAUAUACUGAUAAUUUAUAACUGAUGUUAUUUAAUGAUACUACAGACUGCACUUUGUAUAUUACACUGACUUUAACGAAAACAGAAGUGCACGAAUGCAGAAUGUGCCAUGUAUGCUGUUCUCGCAUUUAUGAGACUUUGGCCACGCCCUUCUGCUCCGCUGCUUUGUGCAUGCGUAGAAGUUUCUCAUUAUUAUGAGAUACUAAUGCCGCGUUCCAGGCAACCCGUAACCCGUGUUUUUCCAACCUUCUACCCGUGAAAGUGCACUGGAACAGCAGUCAAAGCCGUGACUUCUCACCCUUGAACUCGUACUAGAUCGAUGUACUCCCAGUUACGGGUUCUAUACGUCACAUAGCCCGCGAAACAACAAUGGCAGCCCCUACGGAUGCAGUGUUUGCAAGUGCACGGUAAAAUAAAAGGUAUAACAGCUUCUCUUGCCUUAUGCGCCGUUUUCCUCCUCUGUUUCCCUCAAAUAAGCAAGGAUUAAGCACCUUUGGCGAUAGAAAUGAGCAUAUGCUGAGCAUAAGCCCCGUACGGUCCGCCAUGUUGGUUUGUUUACACUUUUAUGCAGUUUGACUCGACUUUCCUGGAACGCUACAAAGUGGUGAGUCGUGAUUUGAAAUCGUGACUUACGGGCUCAAAAACCUGCCUGGAACGCAGCAUAAGUCAUAAUUACGAGAAAGUUUCUCAUUAUUAUGAGAUGUUAAGUCAUUAUUACGAUAAACUUUCUCGUUAUUAUGAGAUACUAAGUCAUUAUUAUGAGAAAGUUUCUCAUUAUUACGAGAAAAUAAGUCAUAAUUACGAGAAAUUUUCACAUUAUUCUGACAUACUAAGAAAUAUUAUGAGAAACUUUCUCAAUAUAAUGAGAUACUAAGUCAUAAUUAUGAGAACGUUUCUCAUUAUUAUGACUUUAAGAAUUAUAUUUCUUUACUCAACUGUGGCGGAAACGGGCUUCCAUAGUAAUGUUAUAUGCUUGAGAUACCAACAUAAACAGCGACAUUUCUCCGACCUCUUCUCCCUGGCUCCAUUUCCCAGAUAGCACACAUACAUGUGGCCGACGUAGGCCCCAGAGCGGAACGUCGGCCUCAUAUCUGUAACAUCUAAUAAGGAUCGGCCAGGCAUAGGCGCGUGUCUUCAGUCAGAGCUCUAUCUCCAGCUCGUCGGCUUUGGGUCGGAUCACGACUGCAGGCCGAUAUGCCGCGCUUUUCUGUUUGCGCGUGACCAUUCAUCUCUGCAACCGACGAGAGAAAUGGCGACUCCGGCGACAUCUGUGGUUUUCAGGAGUGAAAAAAUAAAUCUACAACACCGGAGGGGGAAGAGCUGCUGACAGGAGUAACGUUAACUUUAGAAAAAUCAGUUUGUAAGGUUCUGACAUCCAAACGUAAGUAACACAGAGCAAUAUAAAAUGAAGUAAGCCUAAAACUAAUUCUGUUAAGAAAUUAUUGUAUAUAUAUUCUGUAUAUUCUACUUUCUCUUACCUGCAUUUCACCUCUGCUGUAGCUGGUUUGAUUCUAAUGAACCUGACAUUAUAUAGGCUCUGUGAUAAACUGUUUGUUAUGUUCCUAGAUUCUUCCAUGCUGAUGGCCUGCACUCUUGUCGAAGAAAAUCUCAGGCUAAAAACCAUAUAACCAGGUCUCUGGGAUCCCCAGCUGAAGGCAUGAAGACAUCAGAUAUUGGCCUGGACAGAUGUACCAACAGUACACCACACUGACCUCUGCUUUUGCAUGGAUGGCUGAUUACUACCAUGUUCUGAGAGGGUAUUACUAUAGCAAAACUGAGCACCUGUGACACUGGGAUUUCUAGUUGUAAAGAAUAAUCACACAAUGUUUUUUAGAAGUUGCAAACUUUUCUCUCUCUUUCUCUCUUACAAACAACACAACAGUUAAACCUUUUCAAAAUCUUUUCUGAUGGUGCACAAGUCCUAUUCUACGAAACAGAAAUUAAGAUAUUCAUAUGCUCACAUUUAAGCUGCGGACACAUUACUUUGAGCUUGCGAAAUUUCUUCGGACACUGUAACUGGCGUGAUAUGACGUCUGCAGAGUCUUUUUAUAAACAUGAAUUCAACAUUUAACAAAUAGUAUAUUCAAAAUAUAAAAAUAUAGUCUACUCGACUUUACUAAUUUUUUU
Molecule: long non-coding RNA, 2316 nt
Organism: Megalobrama amblycephala (Wuchang bream)
Lineage: Eukaryota; Metazoa; Chordata; Actinopteri; Cypriniformes; Xenocyprididae
Exons: 4
Source: RefSeq, a predicted model, not a curated record